GACAAGAAAUAACAAUACGGGGCUCUUUUGGGUCUCGUAAUUGGAAUGAGUACAAUCUAAAUCCCUUAACGAGGAACAAUUGGAGGGCAAGUCUGGUGCCAGCAGCCGCGGUAAUUCCAGCUCCAAUAGCGUAUAUUAAAGUUGUUGCAGUUAAAAAGCUCGUAGUUGAACCUUGGGUCUGGCUGGCCGGUCCGCCUCACCGCGAGUACUGGUCCGGCUGGACCUUUCCUUGGGGGAAAUCCCAUGGCCUUCACUGGCUGUGGGUGGAACCAGGACUUUUACUGUGAAACAAUUAGAGUGUUCAAAGCAGGCCUUUGCUCGAAUACAUUAGCAUGGAAUAAUAGAAUAGGACCUCCGGUUCUAUUUUGUUGGUUUCUGGGACCGCCGUA
Molecule: ribosomal RNA, 389 nt
Filed under: Babesia sp. spanish dog
Lineage: Eukaryota; Apicomplexa; Aconoidasida; Piroplasmida; Babesiidae
Description: SSU rRNA
Rfam family: Eukaryotic small subunit ribosomal RNA
Source: RNAcentral